Ciborinia camelliae is the source of this 114-nucleotide non-coding RNA. Lineage: Eukaryota; Fungi; Ascomycota; Leotiomycetes; Helotiales; Sclerotiniaceae. The record is from the annotation of a GenBank genome assembly.
GGACAGAUGGCCGAGUGGUUAUGGCGUGUGACUCAAGCUCUAUAGCUUAAUUGAUGUAAAAUCAAUAGCAUUCUCAUCAGGAAACUGGCAGGGGUUCGAAUCCCCUUCUGUUCA